AAAUGUUACCCUCUGUUUGUUUUGUUGGGAGAAAAUAUAUUAUGUAGUUGAGCAUAAUAUUAAUUUAGAACAUUUCGCUAAUUCAUCUAGAGGACUUGUGAUACUUUCUUUAAAGAGGAAAGUAACUCGGCUAACUUUAUCACUUUGAUUUCAUCACGUAGGAAUUAUUUUAAAUUAAAAAAUGGUUUAUCACAACUCUGAAUUUAAUUCCAACGUAUAAUCACGUCGCUUGCAGGUUGUUACAUUUCAGACAGCAAAGUCCUAACUCCAACAGGAAAACUGGGAAAAUAAUCCAAGUAAACGAGUUGUUGUGAUGUGAUCCACGGUCCACCAUUCCGCUCCGCGUUCGUUUAAUUUUUCAUAAGCGUAGAGGAGAAUGUACUUUACCCCCCACCACCACGUUUGGGGCCAGCCCCAUGUUGGUUCGAGUGUGGGUCUGGGGCCACGACGAGACGUUCGCUCUUGACGACUACUACACACUGCUACAAACGCAGCCCAGCUCGCCUCACUCAGCCCAGCUGGAGUCAGUGAGCGCUCAGCUGUCCCAUUCACCUCCGCGAUCCUCCGCGACUUGACCGUGCUCGAAAAGAACUCUCCAGAACAAGUGUUGUUCGUCGCCGUUCUCAGUCCGCGUACUGCCAUGUGGUCCACCGGCUGGAAUACACGAGCCCAUCCAGCCGACACGGUCAAGCAUUCUGUGUUGAGAAACAGUCCAUUCAGAUCAUCCUGCUUGUGUUCGACUGGUAUUUGCACAAGACUUGGCCGUGCUUUCCUCUGCAUAAGUGGAAGCCGCGUCGCCGUGGACGUCUGGAGCCGGCUGCGAGGUGUGGGCGAGUCUCUCUACCUCCGCGGGACCCGCUGUGCCGUCUGCAGUUUAGCCAGUGGCAUCUCACGGUAACCAGCGUCAUCAGAGAUUAACGUCAGAUACGGCCUCUUUGGCUGCUGGGGGCUAGGGUUCAGGGGUUAGGUUCCCAUUCCCACUCAGUCCUUCACACAUUCGCAACACUUUCCACCACACGACCGGUACGACAGUCGCGGCGUAAAGAACGGAACGGGACUAAAGCGAGAGUCGCGACGGCGCGAGCGUGGUCGUCAAGCUCAUCGUUUUUGGAAGAGACUAAACAAAGUUGAAGAUGUUGGGGACGCCUUGGCUUGUUGGUAAUCAGCCCCGUUUUCCUGUUUCGUUUGACUUCGGAUUGUUUCCCCUCUCAUGACGGUUUUGUUCGCAGGAUAUGUACUCGCUCACCGCGGAGCGGACAGCAGGCAGCUGCUCGCUCUGUUCUGCUGACUUCAGCCGAGAAUAAGACGUUCUCUGCUCGGCUGCCGGCCGGACCUCGCCGUGACUCGGCCUGCUCGUCUCCCGCGGACAGCUGGACCAGCUCGUGGCAGCCGACCUCCUGACCACUGUUCGACUCGGACGCAGCCUGGGAGCGUGAAGCAGUGCAUCAACACGGCCUCGCCGCUGAGGGCCUCGCUCGCCCGUGUCUACGAAGUCGCCGCUGGAGGACCGCGUCGGCUGCGAGUUCAACACCACUUCAACUACCCGCACUGGUGACAGGCUGCUUGCCAGCAGAUUCCUGGUAUGUCGUUUACCGUGAAACGUUUGCUUCUCCAGUUGCUCUUCCAGUUCCAGGCCGUAGUUCCAGUUCCACUGCAGUCAGCAGCAGGUCACCGCGGACGUCAAGACACCAGGACACCAGGGCCAUCCCAACGCCCGCCAUGGAGGUCUGCUUUCAACAUGAACGCUGCUUUCGAUGUCUUCCCCUCAAGCAACCAGGACAACCAAUGCGCAGGGCGAGCGGUAGCACCACUGGAGUGAUGUGAUGAGGAGCUGUUCGACUGGCGUAGGGCAGGGAGAAGAUUGCAUCUCGACAUUGCUGCUCAACCAGAUCGAAGUCAUCCAACUUGGUGGCUGGACAAGACAACUAUUGACAUUAAUAUAUUUAAUUGUAUCACACGUAUCACAAUCGUAUCAUCAUCAUUCAUCUCAGAUUUCUUGACUUAUCUUGCCUUUUCUGUCUUGGAUCGUAGUAUAGACCUUGGUUUGUUGUUUUGGAUCGUAAUAGAACUUGGUUGUUGUCUUGGAUCGUAGUAUAGAGCAUGGUUUCUGUUGUCUUGGUUGUGUAUUGGUUCUUGUGUACUGGUCUUUACAUUUUGGUUGGAUUUUGCGGGUUUGGUGCUUGUAGUCUGUUGGGUCUAUAGAAAUUCUGUAAUCUCUCUCCCUCUCUAGCUUGACAUCAAAAUCAUCUUUGCACUCUCAUCAUAUCAUUUAAUCAUAGUAAAGAGCAAAACUGUAAAUUUAUUACUGUUCAAAAUGUUCAGCAUUUUUCAAAUCCAUUCGCAAUACUUCCUAUUUGCGUUAAAAAUGUUGUGAUUUCUUAAUUAGUAUUACGAAAUUUUUACAAUGAACUUGUGAAAUUUGAUUUUGACUGUAAAAUUUGAUGACUGUUCGCUGAUAAAAAAUGUGACACAAGUUUAUAACAUCUUUUUAUGGACUUAUGAAGAGUUAUCUUGGAGACUUAGAAUUUAAUAGCAUAAAAGCAUAAGUUUAGAUUAUCCUUAAUGUUUUAUGUAAAUAACCCCUCAGAGGGUAUGUUCUACAACUGAAAUUCACUUACUAGUGAAAGCGUACUGUCUUGUGUGGAAUUGUGUGCUCCUGGUCGGUCAACCUGUCAGCUAUUUUGUUGCUAUUUGCACACUGACACUGCCACACUGUUCAGGCAGAGAACGAAAUUGAAUUAAAUUGCUUGGUAGUUCUUUCAUCCUGAAACAUGUACAUAUUGGAAAUGCUUAUUUCAGUUACAAUACCCGAAUUGUAUAAAGGAAACGGAAAAUAAUCGAAUGUAUCUCUGAGAGGUUUUCCUGUUCCCUCGCCAAAUUGAGACGAGGUAAUUGCUAUUGCUUAAUGUAAGCUUGAGCUGUCUAUAAUUUUCAAGUCAAGUUCAGUUAUUAUAUUGCUUUUGAAAUUCCGCAUUAUAGAGAAGAAAUUUAACUGAUGAUCGUA
Molecule: long non-coding RNA, 3004 nt
Organism: Frankliniella occidentalis (western flower thrips)
Lineage: Eukaryota; Metazoa; Arthropoda; Insecta; Thysanoptera; Thripidae
Exons: 8
Source: RefSeq, a predicted model, not a curated record